GAAAUGCGAUAAGUAAUGUGAAUUGCAGAAUUCAGUGAAUCAUCGAAUCUUUGAACGCACCUUGCGCUCCUUGGUAUUCCGAGGAGCAUGCCUGUUUGAGUGUCAUUAAAUUCUCAACCUCACCAAUUUUUGUAAUGAAAGUUGUGUGAAGGCUUGGAUGUGGGGGUUUGCAGGUCCGCUUCUUGGUGGUCUGCUCCUCUGACAUGCAUUAGUGGGUUGUGCACUUAAUCUAGUGGUGUGAUAAUUAUCUACGCCGUGGAUCAGGUUGGCUACUAUAGACCUGCUGCUAACCGUCCGUCUCGGACAACUUUGACAUUUUUUACUUCGAAUCAAGUAAGACUACCCGCUGAACUUAA
RNAcentral lists this unclassified non-coding RNA (356 nucleotides) under uncultured Coprinopsis. RNAcentral describes it as "sequence contains ITS1". The stretch from base 1 to 105 matches the Rfam family "5.8S ribosomal RNA", at positions 50 to 154 of the family's 154-position model. The record is from RNAcentral. Lineage: Eukaryota; Fungi; Basidiomycota; Agaricomycetes; Agaricales; Psathyrellaceae.